RNAcentral lists this ribosomal RNA (253 nucleotides) under uncultured bacterium. RNAcentral's name for it is "partial 16S ribosomal RNA". It matches the Rfam family "Bacterial small subunit ribosomal RNA", at positions 524 to 776 of the family's 1533-position model. The record is from RNAcentral.
UACGUAGGGUGCGAGCGUUAAUCGGAAUUACUGGGCGUAAAGGGCUCGUAGGUGGCCAACUAAGUCAUACGUGAAAUCCCUCGGCUUAACCGGGGAACUGCGUCUGAUACUGGAUGGCUUGAGGUUGGGAGAGGGAUGCGGAAUUCCAGGUGUAGCGGUGAAAUGCGUAGAUAUCUGGAGGAACACCGGUGGCGAAGGCGGCAUCCUGGACCAAUUCUGACACUGAGGAGCGAAAGCCAGGGGAGCAAACGGG